AUCAAUGGAACAGCUAUUCCCUCGAAGGUGUACAUGGUUGUAUGUAAUGAACAAUUGCUUGCUAUCAAUAUCUGGUAAAGCUUCUCAGCUUUAUUCCCAUAAUUUACCAGGGCUUUUUGAUUAUGCAAGACAAAUGCAAAAGUUACCUGUUGCUAUUCCAGCACACAAACUCCCUGACAGAAUACUGCCAAGGUAAGGGUACAUCCUUAGAGGCAAUAUGAUAUUAACAGUUCAUUCUCAUAAAUAUUUAUGCUACAGAAAGUGAAAGAGCACUCAGUUUGGGUUAAUAAAAAUCAUGAUGAAAAAAUAAUAAGUAAUAUACAUUAACAAGUGCUUAGUGAUCACACUCUUGUUCUAAAAUUUUUCUACUUUGUACUUUCAAAUUAUAUCAGACAUUUUCUCUCUGAAUUUUUUAUUCUUUUUCUGCAAGUUUAAAACUAGUUUUUUUCUUGUACUUUGCCAUAAUUUUACAUUGCAUUUAGUGCCUUUGCUUUUGACAUAUGUGUUAACUUUAUAAAAUUUUUCUCAAAGUUUCUAUACCUAGAAAAUCAAAAUGAUUUAUUG
RNAcentral lists this small RNA (564 nucleotides) under Pan troglodytes (chimpanzee). Its description in RNAcentral is "retained intron". The record is from RNAcentral. Lineage: Eukaryota; Metazoa; Chordata; Mammalia; Primates; Hominidae.